Homo sapiens (human) is the source of this 1023-nucleotide long non-coding RNA. Ensembl annotates it as long intergenic non-protein coding RNA 240. NCBI's taxonomy places the organism in Eukaryota, Metazoa, Chordata, Mammalia, Primates, Hominidae. The record is from Ensembl.
GAGCACCGCAGGCAGCCCAGGUUCCGGCCCGCGCCUCUCCCUCCACACCUCCCCGCCGGCAGAGGGAGCCCGCUCAGGCCUCAGCCAGCACAGAGAGGGGCUCCCACGGUGCAGCUGCGGGCUGAAGGGCUCCUGAAGCGCGGCCAGAGUGGGCUGAGGCCGAGGAGGCGCCGAGAGCCAGCGAGGGGAUGCCAGCAAGCUGUCACCUCUCAGAAAUACAGGAAGAACAUCAAUAAUGUUCGAAGUUAUAAAUUGCGGAGGCCAGAAGUCAGAAAACAAGGUGUCUGCAGGACCAACCUCUCCUCUGGAUGCUCUAGGAGAAGCCAGCUCCCAUGUUAAGAAGUUCAAAUACCUAGAGACUGCGAUGGUUUGCAGAGGCUCAAGCUAACCACAUGGAAAGACAUGGAGAGAUAUUCCUUGCCAACCCUCAACUACUCCAACUAUUCUAAGACAUCAAACCUGUGAGUGAAAAAGCCAUCUCAUACCUUACAACUCUAGCAGAUGCCACAUAGUGUAGAGAUAAGCUCUCUCUGUCAUUCUCUGUCAAAAUUGUAAAAUCAUAAGCAAAUAAAUAAUCACAGUUGCUUCAAGUUACUACAUUUGAGCAUAGUAUUUUAAGCCACUGCAUUUGAGAUGGUUUGUUAUACAGCAAUAGAUAACUAAAAAACAAAGUCCCUUGAUUUAGACUUGUCCACUCAACUUGCUUGGCCAAUGGAAUGGGGUAGAAGUGAUGGUGUGCUUAUUCCCAGCCUGGGCCUUAAAAGGCUUUGCCUAUUUCCACUUGCCUUCUUGUACUUCUGCUAUUGUCAUAAGAAAAACAAACCGCAGGUCACCCACCGGUCUGAAGAGGAGGAUGAGAGACAAAGAAAAAAGUUGUCUGGCUGCCUCUGCUGUCUACAGAUUGAAGAAGAUCCAUCCAGCUGAGCCCAGCCUAGACCAGCUGACUUCUCCAAUAAGCCUGUAUGAAAUAAAUGCUUAUUGUUAUGUGACCUUGAGCUUUGAAGAUAGUUUGUUAUGCAAUAA